This 1269-nucleotide ribosomal RNA is filed under the name Corynebacterium aurimucosum ATCC 700975. RNAcentral describes it as "bacterial SSU rRNA". The stretch from base 1 to 976 matches the Rfam family "Bacterial small subunit ribosomal RNA". The record is from RNAcentral. Lineage: Bacteria; Bacillati; Actinomycetota; Actinomycetes; Mycobacteriales; Corynebacteriaceae.
AGAGUUUGAUCCUGGCUCAGGACGAACGCUGGCGGCGUGCUUAACACAUGCAAGUCGAACGGAAAGGCCUCAGCUUGCUGGGGUACUCGAGUGGCGAACGGGUGAGUAACACGUGGGUGAUCUGCCUUGCACUCUGGGAUAAGCUUGGGAAACUGGGUCUAAUACCGGAUAUGAACUGCCUUUAGUGUGGUGGUUGGAAAGUUUUUUCGGUGCAAGAUGAGCUCGCGGCCUAUCAGCUUGUUGGUGGGGUAAUGGCCUACCAAGGCGUCGACGGGUAGCCGGCCUGAGAGGGUGUACGGCCACAUUGGGACUGAGAUACGGCCCAGACUCCUACGGGAGGCAGCAGUGGGGAAUAUUGCACAAUGGGCGGAAGCCUGAUGCAGCGACGCCGCGUGGGGGAUGACGGCCUUCGGGUUGUAAACUCCUUUCGACAGGGACGAAGCGUUAUGUGACGGUACCUGUAUAAGAAGCACCGGCUAACUACGUGCCAGCAGCCGCGGUAAUACGUAGGGUGCGAGCGUUGUCCGGAAUUACUGGGCGUAAAGAGCUCGUAGGUGGUUUGUCGCGUCGUCUGUGAAAUUCCGGGGCUUAACUUCGGGCGUGCAGGCGAUACGGGCAUAACUUGAGUGCUGUAGGGGAGACUGGAAUUCCUGGUGUAGCGGUGAAAUGCGCAGAUAUCAGGAGGAACACCGAUGGCGAAGGCAGGUCUCUGGGCAGUUACUGACGCUGAGGAGCGAAAGCAUGGGUAGCAAACAGGAUUAGAUACCCUGGUAGUCCAUGCCGUAAACGGUGGGCGCUAGGUGUAGGGGGCUUCCACGUCUUCUGUGCCGUAGCUAACGCAUUAAGCGCCCCGCCUGGGGAGUACGGCCGCAAGGCUAAAACUCAAAGGAAUUGACGGGGGCCCGCUGGGGUUGCCCGCAAAUCGUGGACACGUAGUGGAGCUACCUAGUGGUUAGGCAGCUAUUUCUUUUCUGCUGUUGAUUGCGCCGGCGUGGUUCUCGAAGUCGACGGGGCUGACCAUUCCGAGUGCAGAGUGCCGGCGCCGACGGUUGUAGACGACUUCAAUCCAGUAGGCAACAGCCUUGCGUGCAGCAUCACGGCUCGCCCAGCGCUUACGGUCGUAGAAUUCAGUCUUUAGCGUCGACCAGAACGACUCAGCCAUCGCGUUAUCGAAGCACACACCAGUACGCCCCACAGACUGAGCAAUGCCCAGUCUGCUGCAGACCUCCCAGAGCUUCUCACUGGUAAAUUGCGUUCCGCGGUCAGCGU